AGGGCCUCUCUCUGACUUGUCUCAGCAUAUAGACUUAUCAGGUAGGUAUGCUGCAAAUGCUUCAUACUCAUAAAAAGCACUAAUAUGCCCUAAAGUUUUAUGUGGACUAAAUUAAAAUAAAUAAAUCUCUUCUUCCUGAAACAGGAUCAUGGCCUAUAAAAUGCUUCAGGUGGCCCUGUGUUCAACAUUGCUUAUAGAUGUGUUGGGUGCACCAUUUUUGUUAGAGGAUCCAGCAAACCAAUUUCUACGACUCAAAAGACACGUGUAUUUGCAGGAUUACUGGGAUUGGGAUCACAGACCAAAAGUAUGGGGAAACACACUGGCUGAUCAGGCUCAUGAAACAUGGACUGCUUUGAAAACUACAGCACGGCAUUAUUUGGACUCCAAUAUUUUCACCUUUCACAUGUCUACUGACCAGUAAAUGUGUUUUGCUGGCUAAAUCAGGAGAACCACUAUGGUGGGAUUCAGCAUGACAAUAUGCCAAAAACAUAGACUUUUGAGACUGGAGAACAAAUCCUUGCCAUUUACUAGAUGUUAUUUCAUCUCUUGAACCUGUUUCUUGUUUGGAAAAUAGAAUAUUUUAUCUGCCUCACUGAGUUGUUGAAAGGAGUAAAUUUGACAACCCAUGUAAACACCUGGAAUUAAAAAUUUUCAACAAAUGGUAGCUCUUAAAAUGAAAAUUUAAAUAAAGGCUGUAGUAAUAAUAAUUACAAAAAGAGGGGGAUUUAUGGGAAAAGGAAAGAAAAAACAAAAAUGGUAUCAUUAAAGCACUCUGUUCAUCACUUUUGCUUUCUAUUGUUUGUAUGUUAAGAGAACUAGUUCA
Dasypus novemcinctus (nine-banded armadillo) is the source of this 823-nucleotide long non-coding RNA. The record is from Ensembl. Lineage: Eukaryota; Metazoa; Chordata; Mammalia; Cingulata; Dasypodidae.